UGAGUAACCUGCCCUUAACUCUGGGAUAAGCCUGGGAAACUGGGUCUAAUACCGGAUAUGACUCCUCAUCGCAUGGGUGGGGGGUGGAAAGCUUUAUUGUGGUUUUGGAUGGACUCGCGGCCUAUCAGCUUGUUGGUGAGGUAAUGGCUCACCAAGGCGACGACGGGUAGCCGGCCUGAGAGGGUGACCGGCCACACGUGGGACUGAGACACGGCCCAGACUCCGUACGGGAGCAG
RNAcentral lists this ribosomal RNA (236 nucleotides) under uncultured bacterium. RNAcentral describes it as "partial 16S ribosomal RNA". It matches the Rfam family "Bacterial small subunit ribosomal RNA", at positions 118 to 347 of the family's 1533-position model. The record is from RNAcentral.